AUCACAGCUCGAGAAAAAGCAAUGGUAACUGGGCAGGCAUUGCCUCUAAAGCCAUUCUCCUCCCUGCUUAGUGUUCUGUAGCCGCUCUGAUGUUCCUUGAACAAAUCAGGUUGGGGAAGAAUGGAUGCAUUUGUCACGCAGCAAAAGGAGGCCCAAGAGGAGCGAGAGGCAUUAUCUUACAUGUUGGCAAAGCAACCGUAUUUGACUCCUCCCAUCGCUGUCCCCAUCCUGCUCCGCAGGAGUCUGGGAGAACAAGCUCUGCCCUCAGCCUGGACCCCACCUGAAGCGGACGAAAACCCAACCUGCACUCCCAGCUGGGUCACAGCUUGCAGCGCGGCGGCUCAGUCCAGCCCAGGAAGACCGGCCCAGCCCCAGAGCCAACCGCAACUGCAAGAGCCUUAAUAAAUAACUGCUUUUCUAAGCCACUGUGUUCUAGAGUAUUUGUUUAUAUGGCAUCAUUAUGGCACUAGCUAACUGAUGCACGGUCUAAGGAGA
Molecule: long non-coding RNA, 495 nt
Organism: Ailuropoda melanoleuca (giant panda)
Lineage: Eukaryota; Metazoa; Chordata; Mammalia; Carnivora; Ursidae
Exons: 3
Source: RefSeq, a predicted model, not a curated record